RNAcentral lists this long non-coding RNA (385 nucleotides) under Homo sapiens (human). RNAcentral describes it as "HSALNT0223792". Lineage: Eukaryota; Metazoa; Chordata; Mammalia; Primates; Hominidae. The record is from RNAcentral.
AACUUGUAAAGCAGGGAUCUAUUUCUUUGUAAGCUGCAAAGUAGGUAUCCAAUUUUAGUUUUUUCAAAAUGAUUUGACCACUGUCCAAAAAUCAUUCACUGGAACAGUCCCUGAAGGGCCACAGGACCUCUCCCCUUAUCUGUCAGUGGACAAAAGCUGCCACCGUAGCUCAAUCUCAGCCAACGGUCCUUGUAUUUCUCGCACUUGCCACGUGAGCUCUGGCCUCACGUGCACAGCACAAAUUCCCGUGGCCGUUCACAGGGCCCUGCGUGUCCUCGCCUGGCCACAGGCCUCCUCUUUCUCUCCCGCACCAUAGAGCAUACCAGAAUGAACAUGGGGAAGACUCAUGUCAAUAGGGGAUAGACCUGACUUUGCUGUAACAAUG